AAACGACAAAAAGUGAAAUAUUAUAUUACCAUGUUUUGUUUUAUAAAAAACAUAUUAUUGAUCGAAAUGUUUUUAUGGUAAUGGGCCAACGUCGCAAUGUAAAGAAGUGCCAAUAGGCAAUUACAGUGAAUCUAUUACGACCAUUAAUGGCGAAUUUUCAAAUGGAAUUUAAAAGUAGCGCUAAGAGAAGAAAACUGCUCGAAAUGGAAGCUGCUUUUAAGGGAAUCGACCAUUGGGAAGGCUUGUUAAAUAUCGUAUGACUCGACGGUUCGUGCGAUGGCGCCAUCUUAAGGAUUCGAGCAAUUCCGUGAAGAAUCGGCAAUCUCCGGGCCGAUGAUUGCCGAACGCACAUUACUAUUUUCAGGCACACAAGGCACCUCUUGACGGGUUUUUAAUAAGGAGAGAGAAAGAGAGAGAGGGCGAAACUGUCUCUCGUGUGAUAUAGAAAACGUUUUUCCUUUUUUUCGUUCCUUGUCAUUGAAGAUUUACCGUACGGAAUAAAAGGUUUGAAAAAUCAUAGUCGUCCGUGCCGUGAGCGCGUUCGAGAAGCCGAAAAGAAAUAGAAAGAGAGAGCGCGAGCGAGUAAACGAGCCAGCAAGAGAGAGAAAGAGAGGGGGAGGAAAACAGAGAAAGAGAGAGAGAGAGAGAGCGAUAAAGGAAAAGAUGCUCGAUCGUCGUCGGGUCUCGUCGGUUCUCGACGCCUGACGAGGUCGUGCUCAUCGUCUCUACAUCGUUCGUCGGCGAAAAUGAAAGAAGCUCGUCGUCUCUACGAGCAGCUGAUGGCGGCCGAGCGCCGUUCGAGCCUCCUCCGACGUUUCUCGUGUACGCGUUCCUAGUGUGUGAAUGCGUAUUCAAUAUCCUGAAUUCACGGAGGAAAGUGCCGAGAG
Molecule: long non-coding RNA, 887 nt
Organism: Polistes dominula (European paper wasp)
Lineage: Eukaryota; Metazoa; Arthropoda; Insecta; Hymenoptera; Vespidae
Source: RefSeq, a predicted model, not a curated record